AAGAUAUUAGUAAAGUGCAUAUUACAUCACCUUGUCAAGAUGAAAUCGCAGGUUAAAUCCCUGUAUAUCUUA
This 72-nucleotide transfer RNA is filed under the name Labiobarbus ocellatus. Its description in RNAcentral is "tRNA-Asp". It matches the Rfam family "tRNA". From Rfam's summary of the family: Transfer RNA (tRNA) molecules are approximately 80 nucleotides in length. Their secondary structure includes four short double-helical elements and three loops (D, anti-codon, and T loops). Lineage: Eukaryota; Metazoa; Chordata; Actinopteri; Cypriniformes; Cyprinidae. The record is from RNAcentral.